GCUCCCGCAGGCCUGGCGACGGUGUCUGCACCCGGAGCACCUGGAGCGACUCCUGACGUGCUUCCCGCCCUGGCAGCGCGACCACCGCUUGGGACAGAACACAUUGUCCGAGAGAGGCAAGUAAGGGUGCUUCACAAAAUACCUCCCUCAAACCCCCACCUCCCUCCACCCUUCCCGCCUCUGCUCUGCAGUUCUUGGGAAAGAAGCAACAAGCCGAAGGCGGGGUGAGGAGGGGGUUUUCUUCGAGAAAGAUGCGGGGCGCAGCUGUCUCUGUCUUCCCUCCUGGCCGUGGCCGUCCAAGUCUGGUAAAACCCCGAUCAGUGUCCGCGGUCCAAUCCUCCCCCACAGGGCCAGGGCCCGGGACUGGAGGAUGCCCAACUGGAGGUGAGUUGCGCGAGGCUGAGCCCGGGGCUGCUUCCGAGGGCCGGAGGAGGCGGCUCGGCACCCUGGCAGCUGAGCGCUCCUGCAGGGUGCCCUGAGUCGUGGGGGCGUUUCAUUCUCGCACCCACCAGCCCGGCGACAGCGAUAUUGGCUUGUCAGGCGGAGUCAGGCGUCCGCUGGGCGAUGGGCGCAGCACCAGCGGCUGGAGCGCGCGCUCUCCGGAACCAGUGUCCCCAAGCACACGCUACAGUGACCUGGCCUCCGCUCCGCUCACCCUUCGGAGUGCAGGUGUGGCACACCUGCUGCGUGCAGAAAAGCGGUGGGUUUCAGUGUUCCAGAUUUCCCUUCCCAGCCUUGACCGCCUUCAGGUCUGAGAGCCAGGAGUCCCGGGAUUCCGUCCGCCGACGCCUAGGCAAGCCAGUGCCGAAGGAGAAAACGUAGGAAGUGCCGGGACGGCACCGGGUAACUAUCCCAGCGCCAGGGGCUCUUUCUACCCGCCUCGAUUGCUGCAAAUAAUGACACUCUUUCGGGGAAGGGAAGGGAGAGGCGCUGGGGAUUCCGCCUCGGAGGGAGUUGGGUCUGCCGAAAAAGUAUUUCUGUUGCAGACACGUCCUUGUCUCGCCUUUACCGCCGGCAGCUGGAUGGUCCCUAGAGCCCCUGCACGAUGAAUCCGAGCCUCCAGCUUCAGCACCAGAGCCUGGACAGCGCCCGGGCCGCAGAGCUCCCAGAGUGGGUUUCCGCGCGCCACUCCGCUCCCCAGUCCGAGUGGGCUUGAGCUAGACGGCUCAGACCCCCCACGGCGGAGGCCAGGAGAUGAGGCUGGGUUCGCCGAGGCGGGGGGUGGGGGGCUCACCUUCCCCAUUUCUCCAGAGCUUAGGUGUCAGAUUCUAGGACGGUAUUCUAUCGCCCUUCGCUAAGACCAACUGGAAUAGAACUUGGCGCAAAGUGCGUGGAGGGCACCGAAGCGAAAAGAGGCGCAACUGGAAAUGGUGAAUGAAGGGAUGGCGGGGGACGAUUUGAGAUAUAGACGCCGAAGUAAGAAGCCUAUUUUAUCUGAGUCUGAAUAUCUAGAGCACCCAGAACAGGUUGGUAGACAUGUAGCUCUCUCAGCAAAUUGCCACGAGUGUCCCCUGCGUUUGAUUCUUCAAGAUUCUCUUCUAUUUUCUCUCCAGCUUGCCUUCAUGCUUUGCCCACGUGUUUAUUUGCAGUAUCUGUGGGAAAUCAUUUUACCCAUCGUUUUCCAAAGGCCGCUGUAACGGGCUCAGAAUGAUUGUAAAGGGACAUCUCUAGGACGAAUAAAAAACCUGGAUGGAUGGAGAUGAUGACCCUUCAGUUCCGUGUAAGAGCAGACACAUCACGUCCCAGGAAGGCUUGUGGCAGGUCCUGCCCCAUUCUGGAUGGAGAGAACAAACCGAAGGUUGGAGAGCUGGGCUACAGGAAAAGAGUUCUCAAUUAGAAGGAGAAAGAAUUAAAAGUGGCACCAAUAGGGAACGGUAAUAAUCCUUCAGCUGCUGCAGAAAUAAAAUCAGGGCGGCGCUCUCUGAGCCACCGGGAUAUUGUGGCUUUUGCCAAUUAAAGAGCAGAUACAUCCUGCUAGUGCAAUUAGAGGCUGGAAUAGGCAUGGGGGGCCUAGCCUUUCCUCCGUCAGUGCCCGGAGCUGGGCUGGGGCACUUUCCCGGGGAGCCCGGCACUGGACCUGGGGGGGAGGGGACCCCGGGGCUGAGAAGCCACCCUCCCCCUGCCCACAACCGGUACCCCUUUUCCUCUCUUUUCCCUACUGCUUGUCCAGCACCCUGACCCCCACUUCAUUCCGAGCUGUGGCUCAGUAAGCCCUGGUAGGAUUUUCACCACGGGCCUUGACGGUGGACUUGGAAUGCUUGGGGAGAGGGGUCACCAGUACCCGGAUUCUUUCCUUUUUCCUCACCUCCAAUCUCCGUGAUAAUACAAUGCUUCAUGAUUAA
Molecule: long non-coding RNA, 2342 nt
Organism: Suricata suricatta (meerkat)
Lineage: Eukaryota; Metazoa; Chordata; Mammalia; Carnivora; Herpestidae
Exons: 6
Source: RefSeq, a predicted model, not a curated record